AUCGCUUCUCAGCCUUUUGGCUAAGAUCAAGUGUAGUUCUCCGUGCCAGCAUUAUCCAUUUUUAUGAAAAGGGGCAAACAUCCACUUUAAAAGGGAAUGGUUAAGUAAAUUUUGGUAUACCCAUUUGAUGCAGUGUUAGCCACUGGAGGUGGAGAAAAAAACCCCAAACCAACAAGUAGUAUGUUCAUUUAGAUCAUUUCUACUUAAAAUAU
Molecule: small nuclear RNA, 212 nt
Filed under: Fukomys damarensis (Damara mole-rat)
Lineage: Eukaryota; Metazoa; Chordata; Mammalia; Rodentia; Bathyergidae
Description: U2 spliceosomal RNA
Rfam family: U2 spliceosomal RNA
About the family: U2 is a small nuclear RNA (snRNA) component of the spliceosome (involved in pre-mRNA splicing). Complementary binding between U2 snRNA (in an area lying towards the 5' end but 3' to hairpin I) and the branchpoint sequence (BPS) of the intron results the bulging out of an unpaired adenosine, on the BPS, which initiates a nucleophilic attack at the intronic 5' splice site, thus starting the first of two transesterification reactions that mediate splicing.
Source: Rfam by way of RNAcentral